CUUGGUCAUUUAGAGGAAGUAAAAGUCGUAACAAGGUUCCGUAGGUGAACUGCGGAAGGAUCAUUACUGAGGGGGCUCGCCCCGUCAAGAUACCACCCUUGCAUUUCGAGCACUUUCUGUUUCCUCGGCGGGCUCGCCCGCCAAUGGGGACCACAACAAACCCACUUGUAGUUGCAGUAAACGUCCAAAAACAAAUAAAAUCAAAACUUUCAACAACGGAUCUCUUGGUUCUGGCAUCGAUGAAGAACGCAGCGAAAUGCGAUAAGUAGUGUGAAUUGCAGAAUUCAGUGAAUCAUCGAAUCUUUGAACGCACAUUGCGCCCUUUGGUAUUCCUUAGGGCAUGCCUGUUCGAGCGUCAUCUAAAAGCCUCAAGCCCAGCCGGCUUGGUGUUGGGCGUUUGUCCCGCCUCGGGCGCGGACUCGCCUCAAAAGCAUUGGCGGCCCGUGUAGUUGGCUUCGAGCGCAGCAGACUCGCGCCUCGCGAACGACUGGCACGGGCGUCCAUCAAGACGCACCCCCAAGUUUGACCUCGGAUCAGGUAGGGAUACCCGCUGAACUUAAGCAUAUCAAUAAGCGGAGGAAAAGAAACCAACAGGGAUUGCCCUAGUAACGGCGAGUGAAGCGGCAAGAGCUCAAAUUUGAAAUCUGGCUCUUUCAGGGUCCGAGUUGUAAUUUGUAGAGGGCGCUUUGGCGUCGGCCGCGGCCUAAGUUCCUUGGAACAGGACGUCACAGAGGGUGAGAACCCCGUACGUGGCCGCCGGCCUUCGCCGUGUAAAGCCCCUUCGACGAGUCGAGUUGUUUGGGAAUGCAGCUCAAAAUGGGUGGUAAAUUUCAUCUAAAGCUAAAUAUUGGCCAGAGACCGAUAGCGCACAAGUAGAGUGAUCGAAAGAUGAAAAGAAU
This 899-nucleotide ribosomal RNA is filed under the name uncultured Lophiostoma. Its description in RNAcentral is "eukaryotic LSU rRNA". The stretch from base 524 to 899 matches the Rfam family "Eukaryotic large subunit ribosomal RNA", at positions 1 to 374 of the family's 3401-position model. The record is from RNAcentral. Lineage: Eukaryota; Fungi; Ascomycota; Dothideomycetes; Pleosporales; Lophiostomataceae.